AAAUGAUGAUGAUGAUGAUGCACCAUGUACAUCGAUGGCGCUAUAUAAAUAAAUGAAAAAUGUAAUCCAGAAUUGCAUUGACUUCAUUUUGGAGAUCCAAACCACAUUGUUUCAUAAUGGAUGCCAAACAGGGACCAGCACCGUACCUGAGACUCCAUUGGACAGAAUUGCUAGAGAAGAGUUCUAUGGAUGCCAUGGAUUGCUAAACAGACAAAUCAAAGAUGACCAGACUGCGCUCCAGAUUUUCCCUGCAAAAUCCAGAGC
Sceloporus undulatus (fence lizard) is the source of this 264-nucleotide long non-coding RNA. RefSeq lists it as uncharacterized. The transcript is spliced from 3 exons. Lineage: Eukaryota; Metazoa; Chordata; Lepidosauria; Squamata; Phrynosomatidae. The record is from RefSeq and is a predicted model, not a curated record.